AGAACGAACGCUGGCGGCAGGCCUAACACAUGCAAGUCGAACGCUCCAGCAAUGGAGAGUGGCAGACGGGUGAGUAACGCGUGGGAACCUUCCCUAUGGUUCGGAAUAGCUCAGGGAAACUUGGGGUAAUACCGGAUAAGCCCUUCGGGGGAAAGAUUUAUCGCCAUUGGAUGGGCCCGCGUCGGAUUAGCUAGUUGGUGGGGUAACGGCCCACAAGGCAACGAUCCGUAGCUGGUCUGAGAGGAUGAUCAGCCACACUGGGACUGAGACACGGCCCAGACUCCUACGGGAGGCAGCAGUGGGGAAUAUUGGACAAUGGGCGCAAGCCUGAUCCAGCCAUGCCGCGUGAGUGACGAAGGUCUUCGGAUUGUAAAACUCUUUUGGCGGGACGAUAAUGACGGUACCGCAGAAUAAGCCCGGCUAACUCGUGCCAGCAGCCGC
Molecule: ribosomal RNA, 441 nt
Filed under: uncultured soil bacterium
Lineage: Bacteria
Description: bacterial SSU rRNA
Rfam family: Bacterial small subunit ribosomal RNA
Source: RNAcentral